This 728-nucleotide ribosomal RNA is filed under the name uncultured bacterium. RNAcentral describes it as "bacterial SSU rRNA". It matches the Rfam family "Bacterial small subunit ribosomal RNA", at positions 9 to 749 of the family's 1533-position model. The record is from RNAcentral.
GAGUUUGAUCCUGGCUCAGGACGAACGCUGGCGGCGUGCUUAACACAUGCAAGUCGAACGAAACGCCAGGGCUUGCUUUGGUUGUUUAGUGGCGAACGGGUGAGUAACACGUGAGUAACCUGCCCCGGACUCUGGGAUAACUAUGGGAAACUGUAGCUAAUACUGGAUACGACCCUGGCCUGCAUGGGCAUAGGGUGGAAAGUUUUUCGGUCUGGGAUGGACUCGCGGCCUAUCAGCUUGUUGGUGGGGUAAUGGCCUACCAAGGCGACGACGGGUAGCCGGCCUGAGAGGGUGACCGGCCGCACUGGGACUGAAACACGGCCCAGACUCCUACGGGAGGCAGCAGUGGGGAAUAUUGCACAAUGGGCGAAAGCCUGAUGCAGCGACGCCGCGUGAGGGAUGACGGCCUUCGGGUUGUAAACCUCUUUCAGUUCCGAAGAAGCGAAAGUGACGGUAGGAGCAGAAGAAGCACCGGCUAACUACGUGCCAGCAGCCGCGGUAAUACGUAGGGUGCGAGCGUUGUCCGGAAUUAUUGGGCGUAAAGAGCUUGUAGGCGGUUUGUCGCGUCUGCUGUGAAAACUCAGGGCUUAACCCUGAGCCUGCAGUGGGUACGGGCAGACUAGAGUGUGGUAGGGGAGACUGGAAUUCCUGGUGUAGCGGUGGAAUGCGCAGAUAUCAGGAGGAACACCGAUGGCGAAGGCCAGUCUCUGGGCCACUACUGACGCUGA